UACGAAGGGGGCUAGCGUUGCUCGGAAUCACUGGGCGUAAAGCGCACGUAGGCGGAUUGCUAAGUCAGGGGUUAAAUCCUGGAGCUCAACUCCAGAACUGCCUUUGAUACUGGCGACCUUGAGUCCGGGAGAGGUGAGUGGAACUGCGAGUGUAGAGGUGAAAUUCGUAGAUAUUCGCAAGAACACCAGUGGCGAAGGCGGCUCACUGGCCCGGUACUGACGCUGAGGUGCGAAAGCGUGGGGAGCAAACAGG
Molecule: ribosomal RNA, 253 nt
Filed under: uncultured bacterium
Lineage: Bacteria
Description: partial 16S ribosomal RNA
Rfam family: Bacterial small subunit ribosomal RNA
Source: RNAcentral